This 26-nucleotide non-coding RNA is filed under the name Mus musculus (house mouse). The record is from RNAcentral. Lineage: Eukaryota; Metazoa; Chordata; Mammalia; Rodentia; Muridae.
UGCCUCUACACAUACCUCCAGGUCCA